UAGGAAAUUCCGCCCAACAUA
This 21-nucleotide non-coding RNA is filed under the name Caenorhabditis elegans. The record is from RNAcentral. Lineage: Eukaryota; Metazoa; Nematoda; Chromadorea; Rhabditida; Rhabditidae.